GCAAAUCAAAAGAGUUUUUCACUCCACAUUUAAGCUCUCACGUUUUAGCCUCCAAGCUUCUAAAGUGCUCAAGUGUCCUAGCUUUCCAAAGCUUCAAAAGCUCUCCAACUUCUUCUUCUAAUCUUCUUGUUCAUCUCUACAAGUAAGAAGUGUUGUUUAUUUUAAUAUUCCACUCCUCUAAUCACCUCUUGUGUGUGUCCACUUUGGUUGAGAGGGUUGUCUCAAUAUCUCCAAAGUGUGAGAGAAGGUUAUUGAGCUAAACCAAAAAGCUUUUAGUUUGGUUUUAUAGAGUUUCCGGGAAAACUCUUAGGUCGAAUCUACCUUGAAAGAUUUCUAGGUUCUUAAGAGUUUCCUUAAUACUCUAAGGUAUGAGUCUACCCGUAAAAGAUUGGUUCCUAAGCGAAGUUAGCCUUAAAGCUUAGAGAGAUUUUUAAGAGUUCCUUGAUACUCUAAGGUACUAACUUACCCGUAAAAAUUAGAGAUUCUUAAGAGUUUCCUUGAUUCUCUAAGGUGUGACUCUACCCGUAAAAGACUGAUUCCUAAGCGAAGUAGCCUUAAAGCUUAAAGAGGUUUUUAAGAGUUUCUUUGAUACUCUGAGGUUUUGUCAUAUCCUUUAGACUAGUGAAUUCCGACAGUUAGUCGGGACUGGAUUAGCCUUUGUUUGGGUGAACCAGUAUAAAUCUUCUUGUGUUGUUCUUUGUUAACUUUAGUUUUAUCUUUCUUAUAAAAACAACUAAAACAAUACUAAAUUGAAAAGGAUCCCUCUUCCAGUUAUCUGGUCAAAACAGAGGUUGACUACUUUACGUAAAUUUCUCAUCCAGUUAUCUGGUCAUCUGAGGUUAUAUUAUUUGUCUUAAAACCUUUCAAGCAUUUACUUAUCAAAUAUAUAUAUCCAGUUAUCUGGUCAUUUACUCUAUAAUAUAAUUUGUGUUUGCAUUAUAACUUAGUAUUCAUAUACUAUAGUUAUUUAAAACACUAUCAAAUAAGUUGACUCGGUAUUCAUAUACUGUAGUAAGCUUUGAAGAGUAAUAAUUAUAAUAUCAUCUAAAAAGUUAUAAUACUAUUAUUGUUCAACCAUUUUUUUCUUAAGUGUUUACAAGUAAUUCCGCAAUCAACCUGUAUAAAUCGAAAAGAGGCUAUUAUCCUCCCUAAUAGCCUCGGAUCACGAUCCAACAGUUGUCACUAUUGGAGUAAACCCUAAUAACUAAUUAGCAACUACUCCAACAGAUUUAUAGUUACAAUACUAAUUUAAAUACAAUAGUUAAUGUAAUAAUAAUAACAACGUGAAAUCACAUUUCAGAUUCAUUUUCAGUAAUUGCAAUAUGGUAUCAGUUAGCCUGUGAGUUAACUUGAGGAUAACUCUUAAUAUUCUGUUUCUUUCUUCUUUUUUCGGUAAUUGUUCUCACAACGUCGACGAUGGCAACUUCUAAUAACUCUUCAGCAAAAGUGGUGAAGAUCAAGCAUCAGCAAGGAGAGAAACUUACCAAAGAAAAUUUCUUUGUAUGGCAGAAGAAAGUUAAGACCCUUCUGCUAAGAGGGUAUGGACUUCUGUCGUACAAUAACGGAAAAGUCGUUCUUGAUAGAGGCUUGAAGAUCCAGUAAGACCAGCUUCUCCUGGGGUGGAUCUUCUCUACUCUCUGGUCAGAGAUUAUCGCAUAAAUUGCAGGCGCAGAUACCACUGCCGAGGCUUGGGCGCAACUCCAAGAACUCUAUGCAUCAUCAUGAGGAUCCAGAAUUCUUCAACUUUGACAGGAAAAUUAAGGUUUGAAGAAAGGAGAUCUGGUGAUUGACAACUAUUUGGCAAAAAUAACAAACUAGUGGAUGAUAUUGGUUUUGCUGGAGUCAAGACUUCAACCUCAGAAAAAAUUAUUUACAUUCUCAAUGGACUCGAUACCGAUUUUGAGGCAAUUGCUGCUGUGAUCUCAUCACAGCUUGGGACCAACGAUAAGGACACUCCUUCUAAGCCAAGAAGUUCGAAAGGCAAAUAUAAGAAAUUCGCAAGUAAUUAUGGUUAAUGUGAUAGCACCAAAUCAGAGGCGCGAUAGACCAGUAUGCCAAAUUUGUGGGAAACGUGGUCAUAUUGCGGUGGCCUGUCACAAAAGAUACAACAAGAUGCUAUAUUCGACGCCUCCAGAACAUAAAGCUCGACAAUUAGCAUAGUCUAACAAAUCAUCUCGUACGACAACUUCGACUGAGAUAAACACACUAUGGAAUCCAGAUACAGCGGCCACUGGAUACGUCUCAGGUAAUCAUAGCUAUGUGCAUAUUCUUAAGACGACAGUGAAUCAUCCAAGUAUUAUUGUUGCAGAUAGAUCGUCAGUUCCGGCCAUAGGUACCGGAAACUCAUUAUUCACUAAAAAUAAACAUGAUAUGCGUAUGAAUGAUAUAACCAUAUCCCAACUGUAUCACACAAUCUUCUGUCAGUACAUAAGCUCUGUAGUGAUAAUAAUUCUGGCAUGUGGUUUGACAAAUCUUGUUUUUGUGUUAUGAAUUUACAGAGUAAGGAAUUAGUGGAGAGAGGUCGAGCUCUGGGGCAUGUACGAACUUCAUCUGGAUAAUGCAAGGACUAUGGAGGCUAAUCAGUAGCCACCAGACCUACAGCCACGGCCACUCCCGUGGCUAAUUCCCGUGGCUAAAUUGAUUUAGCCACGGAUUUUACCAUUUAGCCAGUGAACUUGGCCGUGGCUGUUUCCCUGUUUUCUUGUAGUGACAUGACAAAAGCAGUCUCACUAGAUUUUUGGCACUCGUGUUUUGGACAUAUUUUUUCAAAAUUAACAUUUGAUGUCAUCAAGAAAUUUAAUCUCUCUGUAAAAUCAAUGAAAAAUAAAGAUUUUGGAUGUCAUUCUUAUGUCAUGGCUAAACAUCAUCACCUCCCAUCUUCCUUUGUCUAACUAAUUCAGCCUUAGACGUUCUUGAUGUGUACAUGGAUCUUUGGGAACCGGC
RNAcentral lists this long non-coding RNA (2943 nucleotides) under Zostera marina. RNAcentral describes it as "long non-coding RNA (ZMAR_LNC002190)". The record is from RNAcentral. Lineage: Eukaryota; Viridiplantae; Streptophyta; Magnoliopsida; Alismatales; Zosteraceae.